UACGGAGGGUGCAAGCGUUAAUCGGAAUUACUGGGCGUAAAGCGCGCGUAGGCGGCGUGAAAAGCCGGUUGUGAAAGCUCCUGACUCAACCUGGGAACGGCAUCCGGAACUGUCAGGCUAGAGUGCAGGAGAGGAAGGUAGAAUUACCGGUGUAGCGGUGAAAUGCGUAGAGAUCGGGAGGAAUACCAGUGGCGAAGGCGGCCUUCUGGACUGACACUGACGCUGAGGUGCGAAAGCGUGGGUAGCAAACAGG
RNAcentral lists this unclassified non-coding RNA (253 nucleotides) under uncultured Halomonadaceae bacterium. Its description in RNAcentral is "contains 16S-23S intergenic spacer region". It matches the Rfam family "Bacterial small subunit ribosomal RNA", at positions 524 to 776 of the family's 1533-position model. Lineage: Bacteria; Pseudomonadati; Pseudomonadota; Gammaproteobacteria; Oceanospirillales; Halomonadaceae. The record is from RNAcentral.